GCUAGGCUGGGUACUUCUCGUUUGUAAUCUGCUGUUCUAAGCUUGUUGUUUUCAAACACAAUGUUUGCACUCAUUCGUUUCUUGGAUGAAUUUGAUGAGACACCUUAUGUUGUCUUUGCAAAGUCCAAAAAGGACUUUAAUUUGACGGACGAAAACGACUACGACAAGAAUGGCGUGUACAGCACGUACUGGGAGGACAAAGAAAAGUGCAAAAACUCUGGCAUCUAUUCAGCACAGAUAUUGCUGCUGGCAUACACCAGAGAGGAUCUUGAAAAGAAGCAGACAUCUGAUUUUGAGGCUGAAGACAAUACUGCAGCUUCAUCUGACAGGGUAUCAUUGAAGCAGGGCAAGAAAAGGCAAAAAGAGAUGCAGCCAGCAGCAAAAAGCAGUGCUUAUGAAUGUAUCCUGCAAGAGCAACUAAGCAAAUCAGAGCAAAAACAGUGGUGUCGUCAGUGCUGUCAGUGCACCUGGAAGGAGGAAACGCCAGUUGAGUGAUUCUGAUAGCGAUACAGACGAGUCCGUUGUCGUCAGUCGAGCUGAAGAGGGCAAAGACAGACGCAGCAUUCUGGCGGUGGCGCUACACUGAGGCUUGCCAGGAGAAGGAGAAGCUCACCAAUAUUAUUGAAUCAAUGCAGAGAACCAGUGAUGGCAAGCUAGCAGCAAUUCAACAGCUGCGAGAAGCACAGGGUCCUGCACUGCCGUCACAAGCAGGUGAACUUCGUUGUGUUCAAUGGCUGCCAGAACCAAGGAGCCCUAGGGUGAUGUCAGGAGCAGCAGAAUGUCACUUCGGUAGGUAAAUUAUGUUCUUAUUGUAAGGUGAGUAAGGUAUUAUAAAAGGUAGUUUACCUUAAUGGGCUCCUGAUGCCCCGAAAUAUUACUUAUUUUUAAUGUGCUUAUAAGUAGUGGUGCGCGAAUACCGAAUAGCAGUUAUCGAAUCGAAUUGAGAAAAAAGAGCCGAAUAUUGAAUCGGAUAUUGAAUAGUGAUUUUCUUUGUAGGAAUUUUUCAAGGUGUGCUGUGAAUGAGAUUAUUAUAUGUGCAGAAUAUGCACCUUGAAAGGAACAAAAGCUCAAAAACGAAAAAGAAAAAAGAAGCUGUUGAUGGACGUUGGGCACUAAAGAUUCAAUUUUACGGCGCAAACGUAAUUAUCUACCCUAAGCGUCACAAAAACAAGUUACAGCCACAUGUGCCUUUUUUGUUAAAAGCACGACCUAACACCUUGACAUGUCCUUUUUAUUAUAUUUGUAUAUCUAAAAAAAGGGGCAUUUUGCGAUAUUUGGUCUUAAUUUUAACAAAGAAAAAGGGCACCCGGGAUUUUAUUUUAUAUAAAUAAACAGAAAGGUGUUAAAUCUAAGUAAACAGGCUUAAAUAAUAUAAUCUGAAGUAAGAAAAAAAAUGUGGUUAGGUGGCGCAAGUCACCGUCCAACUUCCGCUAUGCAUCCAUUCCUCCAUUGUGGUCAGUUUGCCUUGCUGCAUACCCGACCCGGAGGAAUAACACGGAGCCA
Long non-coding RNA from Ixodes scapularis (black-legged tick), 1503 nucleotides. RefSeq lists it as uncharacterized. The record is from RefSeq and is a predicted model, not a curated record. Lineage: Eukaryota; Metazoa; Arthropoda; Arachnida; Ixodida; Ixodidae. The transcript has 6 exons.